Long non-coding RNA from Triticum dicoccoides, 1936 nucleotides. RefSeq lists it as uncharacterized. NCBI's taxonomy places the organism in Eukaryota, Viridiplantae, Streptophyta, Magnoliopsida, Poales, Poaceae. The record is from RefSeq and is a predicted model, not a curated record. The transcript has 3 exons.
GCGACUCAAACCGUCUCCUGGUUGUGAGCCGUGGGUGUGAUACUCCGACGGCGAGGACCGAACCCAGUCCCGGCCGUCGUCAUUGGAGGAUGGAGGAUAUGGAAAACCCCCUUCCUCUCCUCCGCUCAGGCUCCCCGCGACUGUGUCGGCAGGGUAGGAUUGGUGGUCGCGGCAGAGCUCGGGUGCAGGGCGUCGCCAGCGCUGAUGGGUGCCUCCGUCGCGCCGUUUAGAAUCGGUGUACUGCUCUGCUGCCUUGGGCGUCCACGCUGUCACACAGACCAUACCUCUCAGUGUCCGUGGAGUGGCCGCACGCCAACCUCAGCGACACUGAUGCUGAAUUGCAGUAACUUACUGCGCUUGCCUCUGAAUUCUAAAAUUCUGAAUUGCUUGUAACUUAAGACGACACCCAUCUGCCUGGGGUUCUGUCAUCAUGGCAAUUUUUGGGCGUUCCUACAGCAUUUGAAUCCAACACAGAAGAGAGGGCAUUAGCUAGUGCUAAAAAUGUAGUGCGAUUUGGCCUAGCUUCCAUCAACUCGAAUGCCCAGGACAUGUCACAAUCUUUAAAAAACAAUUAGGAGACUGAAAAGAUUUAGAGUUUUCGCCCCCAGGUUGAAUCUUUAUUGACUUGUGUCUUCUUGUCAUGGUUUGUUUCUGAUUACUACUAGCUUGUUCUAAUCUUGACUGUUGGCAUGCAUAACCUUCAUUACUGACUGAAUUCCCAGCUACAAAUUACUACCUCGGUACCAAAAUAUAAGACGUUUUGUACAAAUUUUGUCACAGAUGUAAAUUAUCAGGUUAAGCUUUUAUGCACAUAAUCUUAGAGGUUUAUCUUUAUUCAAGGAAUAGAAAAAUCAGAAGUAUAAUGUUCCUUUUCUUGUACAAUUUGCUCAUUUUGAUAAUUUACAUACUUCUGUUACUUUUUUCUAUGUUUGGUUUACCGCUUCCUUCGGUUGGAGAAAGUACAAUGCUAAUUUUACAGUGCAGAAUGUUACUAAAUAAAUCAAUGAUUGUUCUCAUAAUGGUCUGGUAAGGCUAUAUAGGCCUACUCAACAAAUCACAAAAUGGAGAAGAGGAAGCUGAGCCCCACUCUUUUUAUAUCAAGGAGCGAGGUUUUUUGUUUUGAUUUUUUUAAACCUUCACCUUUUACGGGUUUGUAGGGAAAGUUUCUGGCCCAAUUGACUAUAAUACUAGUACCAUGGCAUACCAUUUUUGGUUUGUACUGAUCGAAAGGCAAAUUACAGGUUAAUUAGGGAAUGCUACUGUAAUCACACAUCUCAUAGGCAUUUAGAUUCUAGCGUAAGACUGCAACAACAUUACUACAUGAAAACACAUUUAUGCUUUCACAUAUCUGUUGGCAUCUCACCUUGAUUUCUUUUUGAAAUUUGCUCAGGAACUAAAUAAUUUUCUUGUUCAUUGCAUGUCUAACUUGUUAUGCCCACUCAUUGAAUUUGCAGCAUUUGAAUCCAACACAGAAGAGAGGGCAUUAGCUAGUGCUAAAAAUGUAGUGCGAUUUGGCCUAGCUUCCAUCAACUCGAAUGCCCAGGACAUGUCACAAUCUUCUUCCUCUCUACAAACAUCAAUCCUGGAGGUGCGGAAGAGCAUGUGUACUACAAAAAAAAGGGCAACCUGGUGCAUGUAGCUCCCGCUUGCGCAGGGUCCAGGGAAGGGUCCGACCACUUUGGGUCUAUAGUACACAGCCUUUCCCUACAUUUCUGUAAGAGGCUGUUUCCAGGACUUGAACCCAUGACCUCAUGGUCACAAGGCAGUAGCUUUACCACUGCGCCAAGGCUCCCCUUCAGCAUGUGUACUACAGCCCAGCAAAAAGAAAAGAUCCAUUGCCACUGCUACUACAAGAAGAUUAAGUAGAAUAAGAAAAAAAAAAUCUUGUUAUGGUUGCUGCUUAAUUACCACUGAAUUUAUUCAUUUGUUCAUGUCA